This 253-nucleotide ribosomal RNA is filed under the name uncultured bacterium. RNAcentral's name for it is "partial 16S ribosomal RNA". It matches the Rfam family "Bacterial small subunit ribosomal RNA", at positions 524 to 776 of the family's 1533-position model. The record is from RNAcentral.
UACGAAGGGGGCUAGCGUUGCUCGGAAUCACUGGGCGUAAAGCGCACGUAGGCGGAUUGUUAAGUCAGGGGUGAAAUCCUGGAGCUCAACUCCAGAACUGCCUUUGAUACUGGCGAUCUUGAGUCCGGGAGAGGUGAGUGGAACUCCGAGUGUAGAGGUGAAAUUCGUAGAUAUUAGGAGGAACACCGAUGGCGAAGGCAGGUCACUGGGCCGCAACUGACGCUGAGGAGCGAAAGCAUGGGGAGCGAACAGG